AAACAUACACCUUUAGGCUGUCUUGGCAUAAAUGUCCUUCCCUGGGUGAUCUGACGUAAUUUGAGUGUCUAAUAAUAGGCUUUUGAGGUCAACAAAGCCAUUGGAAAAGGCCCUAACAACCCUGAGACAAAGAAUAUAAAAUUAUCAGAGAUUAAAUGCAUUCACCACAGCUCACAGAGCUUAGAUUCUCAGCGGGGAUUCAGAGCGGUUGAGUAUCAGGCAGCCGCAGUCGGGCGCUGAACUGCAGGGCGACAAAAUCUACUAUUGUGCAUUAGAAAUAGUCACUUAAUCUAUCUUAAUGGAUGAGAAACCCAUGGGACAAGCGUGCAUUAAAGUCGGCAAUCUCUUUAAGCUGUGGCUAACUAUGGAAUUGUCACUGCCCACUCUCAACACAAGGAGAAGUGCUGCAUUAAGCAUUUAGGGUAAGGUCAUACACACAUGGAAUAAACAAGGCACGGAUGAGGCAGCUUUUCCUCGGGUGAACAGGAACUACAGCCAAUUUGGAUGCAGUUAAGGAUACAAGAUGAACUGAUCUCAGUUCUCUGCUGAUUAUUGCAGUGGAAAUACAAAUAAGUGUAUACACCAGUUUUGAACAUUUCACAGAAGCACUGAUGUAAAAAGCCCAGAGUCUUCUGAUACAACUGUUUGCUUCUAUGGCAUCAUUUUCUUCCAGAGGAAAGGAGCUGCUGUUUCAUUGUGUAAGCUCUGCUCAAUUCUUCCCAAUGGCAGUGAACUUAGAAGCUGGAAUGGCUGUGUGCAAAGGCUUAACCCUGUGUAUUCCUUUCACACCUUUUCCUGAUCCAACAGACAUCACUGUAAUGAAAGUAUUUGACAAGCU
Non-coding RNA from Podarcis muralis (Common wall lizard), 838 nucleotides. The record is from RefSeq and is a predicted model, not a curated record. NCBI's taxonomy places the organism in Eukaryota, Metazoa, Chordata, Lepidosauria, Squamata, Lacertidae.